Molecule: ribosomal RNA, 516 nt
Filed under: Ascochyta medicaginicola
Lineage: Eukaryota; Fungi; Ascomycota; Dothideomycetes; Pleosporales; Didymellaceae
Description: eukaryotic LSU rRNA
Rfam family: 5.8S ribosomal RNA (bases 145-298)
Source: RNAcentral
GGUUUCCAAGAGUGUAGGCUUUGCCUGCUAUCUCUUACCCAUGUCUUUUGAGUACCUUACGUUUCCUCGGCGGGUCCGCCCGCCGAUUGGACAAUUUAAACCAUUUGCAGUUGCAAUCAGCGUCUGAAAAAACUUAAUAGUUACAACUUUCAACAACGGAUCUCUUGGUUCUGGCAUCGAUGAAGAACGCAGCGAAAUGCGAUAAGUAGUGUGAAUUGCAGAAUUCAGUGAAUCAUCGAAUCUUUGAACGCACAUUGCGCCCCUUGGUAUUCCAUGGGGCAUGCCUGUUCGAGCGUCAUUUGUACCUUCAAGCUCUGCUUGGUGUUGGGUGUUUGUCUCGCCUCUGCGUGUAGACUCGCCUCAAAACAAUUGGCAGCCGGCGUAUUGAUUUCGGAGCGCAGUACAUCUCGCGCUUUGCACUCAUAACGACGACGUCCAAAAGUACAUUUUUACACUCUUGACCUCGGAUCAGGUAGGGAUACCCGCUGAACUUAAGCAUAUCAAUAAGCGGAGGAA